AGGUAAUUGCCAUGUGCUGCACUUACAUAUCAGUAGCUAUACAUAUUUUUGAAUGUUUGUAAUUCUUUUUUUUUUCUUGAAAAAAUUUAUUCUCAUAUAACGAAAAGAGAAUAUACCAUCUUGCAGUACAGGGUUUCCUCAGAUGAAAAAUGUUUCAAACUUUGUAAUCCAUGUUGAUUUCUUUCUGGCUAUCGUCAUUCUUCAUCAGACUAUCAGAUGCAUCCUUCAUUGUGGUUAGCUUCUUGAUAGAUUCACUUAUUUGGAUGACUGA
RNAcentral lists this unclassified non-coding RNA (271 nucleotides) under Hevea brasiliensis (rubber tree). The record is from RNAcentral. Lineage: Eukaryota; Viridiplantae; Streptophyta; Magnoliopsida; Malpighiales; Euphorbiaceae.